RNAcentral lists this ribosomal RNA (402 nucleotides) under uncultured bacterium. Its description in RNAcentral is "bacterial SSU rRNA". It matches the Rfam family "Bacterial small subunit ribosomal RNA", at positions 355 to 774 of the family's 1533-position model. The record is from RNAcentral.
UGGGGAAUAUUGGACAAUGGGGGAAACCCUGAUCCAGCAAUGCCGCGUGAGUGAAGAAGGCCUUAGGGUUGUAAAGCUCUUUCGCCCGCGAAGAUAAUGACGGUAGCGGGAGAAGAAGCCCCGGCUAACUCCGUGCCAGCAGCCGCGGUAAUACGGAGGGGGCUAGCGUUGUUCGGAAUUACUGGGCGUAAAGCGUACGUAGGCGGAUGCGCAAGUUGGGGGUGAAAUCCCGGGGCUUAACCUCGGAAUUGCCCUCAAAACUGCACGUCUUGAGACCGAGAGAAGUAAGGGGAAUUCCUAGUGUAGAGGUGAAAUUCGUAGAUAUUAGGAAGAACACCUGUGGCGAAGGCGCCUUACUGGCCCGGUACUGACGCUGAGGUACGAAAGCGUGGGGAGCAAACA